Molecule: ribosomal RNA, 429 nt
Filed under: Actinomycetes bacterium
Lineage: Bacteria; Bacillati; Actinomycetota; Actinomycetes
Description: Actinobacteria bacterium partial 16S ribosomal RNA
Rfam family: Bacterial small subunit ribosomal RNA
Source: RNAcentral
UAGGGAAUCUUCCGCAAUGGGCGAAAGCCUGACGGAGCAACGCCGCGUGAGUGAUGAAGGUCUUCGGAUCGUAAAACUCUGUUAUUAGGGAAGAACAAAUGUGUAAGUAACUAUGCACGUCUUGACGGUACCUAAUCAGAAAGCCACGGCUAACUACGUGCCAGCAGCCGCGGUAAUACGUAGGUGGCAAGCGUUAUCCGGAAUUAUUGGGCGUAAAGCGCGCGUAGGAGGUUUUUUAAGUCUGAUGUGAAAGCCCACGGCUCAACCGUGGAGGGUCAUUGGAAACUGGAAAACUUGAGUGCAGAAGAGGAAAGUGGAAUUCCAUGUGUAGCGGUGAAAUGCGCAGAGAUAUGGAGGAACACAAGUGGCGAAGGCGACUUUCUGGUCUGUAACUGACGCUGAUGUGCGAAAGCGUGGGGAUCAAACAGG